This 2170-nucleotide long non-coding RNA is filed under the name Struthio camelus australis. RNAcentral's name for it is "lncRNA (ENSSCUG00000009790.1)". The record is from RNAcentral. Lineage: Eukaryota; Metazoa; Chordata; Aves; Struthioniformes; Struthionidae.
ACCAGCCUAGGGCAAACCAUGAGCAUUUGUAGCCUGCAGCAAGGCAAAAAGGAUUGCCCAGAACAGCCUGUAGAGAUAUUUUAAUUACCCUUGGUGAACUGGCAAUCAACUUGAGGUAAAGAUCACAAGUGGAGACAAACUCUAAGGGGAAUUUUUAUGCUUGGAGUGAAAUUUCAGCAGCAUUUUUUAAGCAUUUCUAAUUGGAAUGGUUUAACAGCCAUCACCAAAUAUCCCCAAAUCAAAACACUUCUAAUGUAUACGGAAAGCAAAUUACUGUUACGCUGUCCUAGUACUGUAUUAUGAGAUGGAUGAAUACAGUGCUGUAAAGGAAUAUGAGUAACCGCCUAACCAGGGAGAUCUUUCUGAGCAUCUUUAUAGUUAGAGGAAUUUUUUAAUGGACUGUGAAUCAAAAAUGUAUUUAAUUUUUGUUUUCCAGACUUGCCAGUGAAAGAAAGCCUUGCACUUGCCAGAACGCUUUCAGAUCAAGUCAUCUUUGCCAGCCAGAGCAGUCUCUUCUUGUCUGCUUCCAAGAGGCAUGAGCUUAAACAACUGGUCUCAGAGUGGGGUGUAUCUACAGUCUUAACCACGAAGAGAGGUGAUGAAAUGUUCUCCUCUUCAGUCUAUACAGAAGAGACUGGAGCUAAGCUGCUAUCUUCAUAACAGUAAAACUGCAGUUCAAUCUGAAUUCUUUGUUCAUGUUUCAUUGCUUCUUUUGAGGAAAACAGUGAUCGUGAGAUCAGACAUCAGCCUCAGGUGGAGAGGCCAGUGUGCAGCCAGUCCCAGUUACCAACCUGGGUAUCCAUGGGGAAUAGGGCUGACAGGAGCUCCUGCUGUGAUUGCCGUGGAGGAAGCUGGAUGUAUGAGCUUCUCCAGAGCCAGUCAAGGGGACUGCAGGUGAGAUGGAGCAGGAGCAACUCCGAAGAGCCUGCAGGUUCCCAUGAAACACAAACUGCCCUGAAGAACCUAGUCUUUAGGGUGGAAAUAGUGACACGAAGUGGCGGCGAAUCCCACCGGGCUUUUGGUUCACAAGUCGCAGCUCUGCCUGCCGUGUGCCAGACAAGAGGAAACCCAGCAACCUGUUGGGAACCUCGGCCGCUCGGGGCGGAAAGGAGAGGAGGAGAAGCCUCCCGCUGCAUUGUCUGGGGCGCUGCCUCCGUUUCCGCCGGCUGAGCUCCAGCCCUUGUUUUGCAGCACGCCGCGUGGAGUUUUAUCACCUUCAACAAUGAAAUCUGUCACCUUCAAGCUGCUUUAUUGUAAUCUGGGGACUUUCGCCCUGUCCGCUGUAACCCUGCUCCGGGCUCCUACCCCGCAGGGCUGCAUUCCCCACCACGCCAUCGCUAACAUCUAUCGAUUAGGCUCCUUGCUGAAACCAACGGUGUUAACUUUAGGGGCCGCAUUUGUACUUGUUUUCUCGCCGGGAUCAGAUAGUUAAUUGAUCUUCCUCGUCCUCUUUGCCUUGCUUCUGUCUUGCGUGCCUCUGAAGCCUCUUAUUCCGAUGGCUGCCUCACCUUCCCCUCCCCGCCCCCCUCCAAUGUGGAGGAUAAAAGCCGAUCAGACAUGCAGUACAGGCAGUAUUCAGCAGGUUUCCUGAUCUGAUAUUUGAAAGAAUGCAAGGUACAAAUACAGGUUUUGAACUAUGAGACCUUCCUGUUGCAUCGGUUACACACGUCUGAAUCAGAUUAACCGGCAUAUCUCAUCUCUGAAAAAAACAAUUUAAUGAUUAAACUCAGGGAAGGGUACUUCUUCAGCAGAUACAGCUUGGAUGUUACCACUCUUGGAGUGUGUUGUGUGCGGUUUUUUCCUGGUUUGCAAACAAUUUUCGCUUGCUGUUUUUCUAUGGCUUUUAUUGUAGAUGCAUUUUUAUUUUAGGGGUUAAGUCAUUUUCAUUUGAAAUGCACUUAUGUACAUUUGCAUACACAUUUAUACAGGCUAAUUAAAAACUUACCAUCAGAGUUGCUUUUCUGCUUACAAACGCUCUGCAGCAAAAUGGUUGUUGCUUUUUGGAAAUUGGAGCUUUUUGUAAAAUCAUUUGGUCAAAUCUUUGGGGUUUAGAUGUUCAAUGAAUAAUCAAUAUAUGCAGCAGAAGAUUUAAGCAAAAAGGGUUUUUCACGGAAGUUUUCCAUAGGAAAAAAUCUAUAACAUGUAUUAUUAAAUAUAGAGAGGCUUAUAU